Molecule: ribosomal RNA, 162 nt
Filed under: Clostridium sp. MCC328
Lineage: Bacteria; Bacillati; Bacillota; Clostridia; Eubacteriales; Clostridiaceae
Description: partial 16S ribosomal RNA
Rfam family: Bacterial small subunit ribosomal RNA
Source: RNAcentral
UUUAACAUGAGAGUUUGAUCCUGGCUCAGGAUGAACGCUGGCGGCGUGCCUAACACAUGCAAGUCGAACGAGGCAAAUGAGAUGAAGUUUUCGGAUGGAUUCUUAUUUACCGAGUGGCGGACGGGUGAGUAACGCGUGGGUAACCUGCCUCAUACAGGGGGA